Molecule: unclassified non-coding RNA, 1474 nt
Filed under: Leishmania donovani
Lineage: Eukaryota; Euglenozoa; Kinetoplastea; Trypanosomatida; Trypanosomatidae
Description: gene:LdHU3.24.1460(CDS-product:translation_factor _sui1_putative)
Source: RNAcentral
CAGCCAUUCUCGUGCAGCUUGUCACGCGUUGAAUCCAUCCAUCCCCCUCUCCUCGCCCCAGCCCUCUCUGUGGCCAUCCUACUCAGCAACUUCGACACCCGCCGUGCAGCCUUUUUCUUCGGUUGCCACGCCCUCGAUAAUCCGUGGACCCACAUAUCUGACCGCACAAGGCAACCAUGGAGGACACCGUCGAGGCCAUUGUGAACCAGCAGCGCGAGACGGAGAGAGCCGUCUUGGGCGGACAAAAAGUGCACAUCCGCGUGCAGCAGCGCAAGGGCAAGAAGUUCGUGACGACAGUUCAGGGGCUCAACCAGAAGCUUAACUUCCGCCGCAUCAACCGCGAGUUCCAGCGCCGCUGGGGUUGCAACGGGACUGUGAUCAGCACUCCUGAUGCGGGAACCGUCAUCCAGCUGCAGGGCAACUGGAGCGAGAACAUCAAGCAGUUCCUCUUAGACGAGCACAUGGCGACAGAGAACAACCUCGAGAUACACUCUCUGUAAUAAGGGGUGCGGAAGGGACAAGAAACUCAUGAGAGCAAGAGAAGGCGCGACGUCUUCAUGUCUGCCGUGCCCAUAUGUGCUCUGUCAUUGGAACCGCGUACGCGCGGAUGCCUCGUUAUGGGGCAGCUCGGGAGGGAGAAGGGGGGGGGGCGCUGCGUGACCGUUGCAGAACGCGUGUGAGAAGGGGCCGUUCCCCCCUGGCACACACGCACACACGAGGACCACGCGGCAGCCAGGAUGAGUGUCCCUUCAAUGCGUCGCCCUUUGUGAGCGCGUGUGUCGGUUUCAGGCCCCUCUUUUGCUCUCUCCGUCUUCCUUGUCCCUCUCUGCAUAUGCGUCCAUCGGAUGCGCGAAUGGUGUGUGGUUCCUGAUGCGUGUCUACGCGGGCCCUCAGAGAUGAGGUGGAAGAUGUAGCCACGCGCGCGUGUGUGUGUGUGUGUGUGUUGUCGCCGUACUUCUUUUUUCUCCUACGGCCCUCUCUCGUCUCUCCUCUGGCUUACGUGGUCUAUAUAUUUUUCUUUGUCCUGUGUGUUUGUGUGUGUGUGUGUGUGUGUCUGAGAGAGAGAGCCUUUGUGAUAAUCUCGGCACGCUGUGUGCAUGCGUGCAGCAGCAUGUGCGAUGAAGGUGGUUGGGUUGGUGCUCUCGUAUUGAACCCAAAACCAAGGGGGGAUGUCGGAGGCGAUGAAGAAGCAGUGUAUGUGUCUACGGUUCUAAUUAACGUAAACGGAGGAAGCGACGUACUAUAGUCUUCUCUCGCGCACCGCCGUAUCCACCGACACACAAGUACACACAGCGAGCGACUUGUCUCCUCCUCCAUCGUUUGCCGUGCAAGCUAGUGUGGUUGUGUGUCAGUGUAUGUGCGUGCGUCGAUCGGGUGCGCCUAGGGGAGUAGAGAUCAGGAGAAAGCGUGCGGAGGGAGAAGUUCGAGGAGCCUCCGCUCUUUCUCUUGUCUUCUGUGUGUAAAAGCAGCGAGG